GAUGAACGCUGGCGGCGUGCCUAAUACAUGCAAGUAGAACGCUGAAGGAGGAGCUUGCUCUUCUGGAUGAGUUGCGAACGGGUGAGUAACGCGUAGGUAACCUGCCUGGUAGCGGGGGAUAACUAUUGGAAACGAUAGCUAAUACCGCAUGACAACAGUUAUUGCAUGAUAACUGUUUAAAAGGGGCAACUGCUCCACUACCAGAUGGACCUGCGUUGUAUUAGCUAGUUGGUGAGGUAACGGCUCACCAAGGCGACGAUACAUAGCCGACCUGAGAGGGUGGUCGGCCAAACUGGGACGGGGACACGGCCCAGACUCCUACGGGAGGCAGCAGUAGGGAAUCUUCGGCAAUGGACGGAAGUCUGAGCGAGCAACGCCGCGUGAGUGAAGAAGGUUUUCGGAUCGUAAAGCUCUGUUGUAAGAGAAGAAAGAGUGUGAGAGUGGAAAGUUCACACUGUGACGGUAUCUGACCAGAAAGGGACGGCUAACUACGUG
Molecule: ribosomal RNA, 495 nt
Filed under: uncultured bacterium
Lineage: Bacteria
Description: partial 16S ribosomal RNA
Rfam family: Bacterial small subunit ribosomal RNA
Source: RNAcentral